GUGAAGCCCUAAUCAUUAAUAAUGGUUUUAUGUGAAACUCACAAAAACUAAACAAUCGGAUAUGUAAGAUAAUGUUCUUCCUCCCAACUUUCUACCUCCCGUAUCUCUUCAUCUCCUUCUCUUUCUCACACCUCUUAGACCAAGCAAUGAAUUUCAGUUUUGAUUAAUACCAUUAAGUUCCAAGAACUUUCCGUCUCCCUUGCUUUACUAUUAAAGCUUCAUUCUUAUCAAACCGAUUAACACCCCAAACAACAAAUGGAAUCCUCAACAAAGCUCUGUUUAUCUUCAGUCCUUAGGUUGAAACAUUUUUUCGAAUUGGACCCUCAAUUCGAAAAUGUUUUCCCAUGUGGCUGAUGUUGCCCAAUCAGCCGUCCUCCUUUCAAAUUUUGAUGCUCUCCGAUUUGGUCGUACUUCCCAGUGGCCGCCUCUUCCUCCACUUUUGUGAUUCGCGUUACCUAAAAAACGACGAAGCUAACAGUUACGGGUCGCAAUAAUGUAAAGCAAUGAAGUUCAUCCACCACGGCCAUCAUUUACUCUUCUCCAGUAGAGAAAGGCAAGGUGGUGAACUCAAGAGCGUUGAUAUGCUCCUCCUUGAUGUAAAGACUCGGUGGCCACAAUCAUCUAGAGGUCAAUCAACCUUCAAACUGUCUUCACUCUUCCAACAUAUCUUGCAAGAAGGCUUGGUGUAUGGGUUAAGUGGUUUCAAUGUUGCGAGAAGCAAUCCGAUUUAAGUUUAUCGUGGAAUUCACAGCCACAGCUGAGCCAAGCCCGGAGGAGAGCUUCAGGUUCUGCAAAUACGAAUCUCAUGUCAUUUGCCAGAUAUUGUUGGAGAGAUUAGGGGCAUCAAAACCAUGUAAAACCAAGACACCCAGAGCACUCAACGCCUCAUGGCAGCAAUAAAGCUUGACGGUAGGUAGUUGAUAAUUUCCAGCUUUAAUAAACUGUUGACAUGAUACAUAUAAGUUGGUGGCUUGGUGCUAAGUUUACUUUUGCAUAUUGAGAAUGUUCUUACGUUAUUGUAUAAGUGCAUGUUCACAUAGUAGCACGUUACUUCCGUAAACAUAACAUCAACCUCGGGUCAUGCAUGUUUUGUUAUUUAUUAUAUACGAUUCAGACAGACGUUUAUCAGUUAACUGAUUAAU
Long non-coding RNA from Brassica oleracea var. oleracea, 1142 nucleotides. RefSeq lists it as uncharacterized. The transcript has 4 exons. NCBI's taxonomy places the organism in Eukaryota, Viridiplantae, Streptophyta, Magnoliopsida, Brassicales, Brassicaceae. The record is from RefSeq and is a predicted model, not a curated record.